CCUCUGUUACCCGUAGAUCCGAACUUGUGCCUGAUUUUCAACCGUGUACGAGUUUGCCUCUCCGGGUGCCAGAUGG
RNAcentral lists this microRNA precursor (76 nucleotides) under Tigriopus californicus. RNAcentral describes it as "mir-10 microRNA precursor family". It matches the Rfam family "mir-10 microRNA precursor family". Rfam says of the family: In this case the mature sequence comes from the 5' arm of the precursor. The record is from RNAcentral. Lineage: Eukaryota; Metazoa; Arthropoda; Copepoda; Harpacticoida; Harpacticidae.